This 155-nucleotide unclassified non-coding RNA is filed under the name uncultured Phialemonium. Its description in RNAcentral is "sequence contains ITS2". Lineage: Eukaryota; Fungi; Ascomycota. The record is from RNAcentral.
CAACCCUCAAGCUCUGCUUGGUGUUGGGGCGUCUGCAGCUCCGGCUGCAGGCCCUGAAAAACAGUGGCGGGCUCGCUGCAACUCCGAGCGUAGUAGUCUCUUCUCGCUCCGGAGGCGUGGCGGCACCCGGCCGUUAAACCCCCCAAACUUCUGAA